UGCAUCGAUGUUCAUAAGAGAAA
RNAcentral lists this non-coding RNA (23 nucleotides) under Mus musculus (house mouse). Lineage: Eukaryota; Metazoa; Chordata; Mammalia; Rodentia; Muridae. The record is from RNAcentral.